UACAGAGGUCCCAAGCGUUGUUCGGAUUCACUGGGCGUAAAGGGUGCGUAGGUGGUUGGGCAAGUUUGAUGUGAAAGCUCGGAGCUUAACUCCGAAAUGGCAUUGAAUACUUCUUAACUUGAGGGUCGGAGGGGAGACUGGAAUUCUCGGUGUAGCAGUGAAAUGCGUAGAUAUCGAGAGGAACACCAGUGGCGAAGGCGAGUCUCUGGACGACUCCUGACACUGAGGCACGAAAGCUAGGGGAGCAAACAGG
RNAcentral lists this ribosomal RNA (253 nucleotides) under uncultured bacterium. RNAcentral describes it as "partial 16S ribosomal RNA". It matches the Rfam family "Bacterial small subunit ribosomal RNA", at positions 524 to 776 of the family's 1533-position model. The record is from RNAcentral.